RNAcentral lists this ribosomal RNA (253 nucleotides) under uncultured bacterium. RNAcentral describes it as "partial 16S ribosomal RNA". It matches the Rfam family "Bacterial small subunit ribosomal RNA", at positions 524 to 776 of the family's 1533-position model. The record is from RNAcentral.
UACAGAGGGGGCAAGCGUUGCUCGGAAUCACUGGGCGUAAAGCGCACGUAGGCGGCUUUUUAAGUCAGGGGUGAAAUCCCGGAGCUCAACUCCAGAACUGCCUUUGAUACUGGGAAGCUUGAGUCCGGGAGAGGUGAGUGGAACUCCGAGUGUAGAGGUGAAAUUCGUAGAUAUUCGGAAGAACACCAGUGGCGAAGGCGGCUCACUGGCCCGGUACUGACGCUGAGGUGCGAAAGCGUGGGGAGCAAACAGG